UGCCAGCAGCCGCGGUAAUACGUAUGUCGCAAGCGUUAUCCGGAAUUAUUGGGCUUAAAGGGCAUCUAGGCGGUUUUUCAAGUCAGGGGUGAAAACUUAUGGCUCAACCAUAAGCUUGCCUUUGAAACUGAAAAACUAGAGUACUGGAAAGGUGGGUGGAACUACACGAGUAGAGGUGAAAUUCGUAGAUAUGUGUAGGAAUGCCGAUGAUGAAGAUAACUCACUGGACAGAAACUGACGCUGAAGUGCGAAAGCUAGGGGAGCAAACAGGAUUAGAUACCCUGGUAGUCC
This 291-nucleotide ribosomal RNA is filed under the name uncultured bacterium. RNAcentral describes it as "partial 16S ribosomal RNA". It matches the Rfam family "Bacterial small subunit ribosomal RNA", at positions 506 to 796 of the family's 1533-position model. The record is from RNAcentral.